Non-coding RNA from Danio rerio (zebrafish), 790 nucleotides. Lineage: Eukaryota; Metazoa; Chordata; Actinopteri; Cypriniformes; Danionidae. The record is from RefSeq and is a predicted model, not a curated record.
CCCAGUGGUCCUGGCAGGCGCACAGGAAGACGCGUGUCAAACACUGAGACAAGGGAGCUCUCUCUGCAAAGCCCACACAGAGAGAGAAGAAAGCUAGAAUUAAUGCUGUAAGAAUAAACACCGAAAAGAAACACAGGAGAGGCGGUUAGUUAAAUAACAGAGGGGGGAGAAAAGCCGCUCUGGGGGAACAUUCAAGACAUACCCGAAUUUUUUAAAGCAAAGUUGCAGCAUUGAAAAAAGAUGGAGGCCUUUGGAGAGGUGACAUUUGGCUGGGCACGACGGCCGAGAAUACCAACAAACUAAUGGCGCGAGAUGACAGAAGCACCUGAAUUUGCCCUUUCCUGGAUGCUCAGAUAGAGGAUGAAGCAGGGCCACUGUUGACUAAAUGGGUGUCAAGAAUUGGACAACAGUGUUCUAGUCUCCUCCAAAUUUAUUAAAGGCGCUGUUGCUUCUCCUAUGCAAUCCUCAAAGCAAGACUGAGACAAUAAGACGCUGUUUCCCAAACAGAUUCUGUAAACGCAAUUUGAAUCGGAAUAGUGAUCCAGCCGGCUGGCUUUUGUGUUCGUGAAGGAGAAGAGAUCGAGGCACAGAGAGAGCCGACCCGCUGUUGACUGGUGCCAUUGUUUCGGAGCCCUAUGAAUUCCCCUCCUUCAAAGUACAGACCCCACAGCUCGGUCUACCCUUUGGCAGUUUUCAGGAUGCCCUGCUUUGAUCUCAACCAUAAGUGCUGUGACAACAACCUUGAGAUGUAAAGAAAAAAGCCAGUUGAUGUUUUUAUGACAGACUCAUG